Molecule: small nucleolar RNA, 136 nt
Organism: Centropristis striata (black sea bass)
Lineage: Eukaryota; Metazoa; Chordata; Actinopteri; Perciformes; Serranidae
Product: small nucleolar RNA SNORA5
Exons: 1
Source: RefSeq, a predicted model, not a curated record
UGCAGCUUUGUCAAAUUCAGUGGUCCCUCGCUAGUAGGUUACACUGGCCAAAAUAGCUGCAACAGUGACUUUUGUAAUUCAUGGGCCCCACAUUUCUUCCAUGGAUUCUGGGGAUAAAUAUGUAUUACAGACAAAU